RNAcentral lists this ribosomal RNA (500 nucleotides) under uncultured bacterium. RNAcentral describes it as "partial 16S ribosomal RNA". It matches the Rfam family "Bacterial small subunit ribosomal RNA", at positions 30 to 523 of the family's 1533-position model. The record is from RNAcentral.
AUUGAACGCUGGCGGCAUGCCUUACACAUGCAAGUCGAACGGCAGCACGGGAGCAGUCCUGGUGGCGAGUGGCGAACGGGUGAGUAAUACAUCGGAACGUGCCCUGUCGUGGGGGAUAACUAGUCGAAAGAUUAGCUAAUACCGCAUACGACCUGAGGGUGAAAGCGGGGGACCGUAAGGCCUCGCGCGAUAGGAGCGGCCGAUGUCUGAUUAGCUAGUUGGUGAGGUAAGAGCUCACCAAGGCGACGAUCAGUAGCUGGUCUGAGAGGACGAUCAGCCACACUGGGACUGAGACACGGCCCAGACUCCUACGGGAGGCAGCAGUGGGGAAUUUUGGACAAUGGGGGCAACCCUGAUCCAGCAAUGCCGCGUGUGUGAAGAAGGCCUUCGGGUUGUAAAGCACUUUUGUCAGGGAAGAAAUCUUUUAGGCUAAUACCCUGGAAGGAUGACGGUACCUGAAGAAUAAGCACCGGCUAACUACGUGCCAGCAGCCGCCGUAA